GUAAAUGUAGUUUAAAGAAAACAUUAGAUUGUGGUUCUAAAAAAGAGGGAUAAAACCCCCCCAUUCACC
This 69-nucleotide transfer RNA is filed under the name Nemichthys scolopaceus (slender snipe eel). RNAcentral's name for it is "tRNA-His". It matches the Rfam family "tRNA". Rfam says of the family: Transfer RNA (tRNA) molecules are approximately 80 nucleotides in length. Their secondary structure includes four short double-helical elements and three loops (D, anti-codon, and T loops). Further hydrogen bonds mediate the characteristic L-shaped molecular structure. tRNAs have two regions of fundamental functional importance: the anti-codon, which is responsible for specific mRNA codon recognition, and the 3' end, to which the tRNAs corresponding amino acid is attached (by aminoacyl-tRNA synthetases). tRNAs cope with the degeneracy of the genetic code in two manners: having more than one tRNA (with a specific anti-codon) for a particular amino acid; and 'wobble' base-pairing, i.e. permitting non-standard base-pairing at the 3rd anti-codon position. The record is from RNAcentral. Lineage: Eukaryota; Metazoa; Chordata; Actinopteri; Anguilliformes; Nemichthyidae.